AAAGAUUAGCCAACAAGGCUAGCUAUUUACCAAUGCUUAUACAAACAUGAUUCAACAGCCAUGGAUUUGCAAACACAGACCAUAGUAUAUUUUUUAUGUACAUAACAUUUCCAUUCUAAGAAUCCACAACAACAUUAUAGGAGGCCGAGGGGCGGUGGUGGGGGAGACAAGGCUGCAACGAUGGAGGUGGCAUACAGUCAGUACAACAAACAAAAGAUCCUACAUAUGAGGAUGAAUAUGUAAUCUAUACAUUAAAUUUACCAAAAGAAAAUCACCUAGAACUAAAAAGGCAGAAAAUUAUUGCUUUUGUUAUAGAUAACUUGUCAUGUUGGUGCUUGAACCGAACAAUACUACUAAUACAUACAGUACAGAGAUGCUCCAGUUUCGGUUGUAUCUAUCAAGCAUCAGUUCUUGUUCAAGGCAAGCUUCAAAGAGAAAAAGAGUGGUGCUGAUUCAUAUGUAUAUAUGUAUAUACAGAAGAUGCAAGUGUCAUCAAGUUCGCUUUAGUCAAAGUAAAAACAAAUGGACACAUACAAAACUGAACCAAGGGUGGUGCUGAUUCAUGUGUAUGUACAGAUUGAGGUGCCAGCCAGUUGGUUUCACUCAAAGUUCAACCAAAAAAAUUGACACAUACAAAUUGAAGAAAAGUGUGGUCCUGAUUCAUAUGUAUGUAUGUACAGGAGAUGCAAGUGCCACCAAGAUAGAUAGUUUCAGUCAAAAGUAAAAAACAAUUGGAUACAUACAAACUGAAGCAAACCGUCGUGCUUUUUCAUGUGUACAUACAAAAGAUGCAAGUGGUAUCCAUAAUUUGGAUAUAGGUAGUACGCUCAUGUGGUGAAUUUUGUGAAUCUAUACUCUGCAUCUACCAAAAGGAUCACCCCCCUCACAUGCAAAUAUAAUUCAGUCCAAUGGCUUUCUUCUCCCCUCACAUGCAUAAGACGAGAGCAGACCAUCUAAACAGGCGGACCAGACCUUCACCUUGGGAGAGAGGCGAGUGCUACCUGUUGCCAUGUCGUCGUCGAGCUCGGGUGGUCCUCCUCCUCCUCCUCGAGCAAGACAAGGUUGUUUCUCCCCUACACUCCAAUGGCCAUCUUCUCCAAGGACAUCUACAAGGCCAGAACACACCAUUGAUGCAAGUGUCACCAAGAUAGUUUCAGUCAAAGUUAAAGCAAAUGUAAAUAUGCAAACUGAACCAAACCGAGGUGCAUGUUCAUAUGUGUGUGUAUGUAGAGAUGCAAGUGCAAUCUGAAUUUUGGGGAACCAAAGCAUGGUUGUUGUCGUUGUUGUUGCUACUUUAGCAGCAACAACAUCCUUGAAACCAAACAAGGGGCAAGUUGUUUUAGCAGCAGCGCAUACUAGUAAUUAGCUAGGACCAUUAUUAUUGAACAACCAUUCGAGGACGGUGGCAGACACAUCAAUCUCAUAAGGCUCUACUGGAGAAACAAAAGCAUAGGAUAUGUGAUGCUGGCAAUCUUAGCACAAGAAGAAAAAAACACAGCCUCUCCGAUAGAAUGGAUGGAUGCAUCAUGCACAAUCAUCGGUUCCAUCAUUGCAGCACUAGUUGAGCAACAAAUCAAAUAUAACAGUAGUUCCAUUCGUUCAGCCAACAAGUUAACAAAAGUUUACUUCCCACUACUAAUUUUGCAACUUGUCAUAAUAAAGAAAACAGAGCUCAAAAUCACAGCAACAAAAGCAGUAGACUGGGAGCCUGGAACCAUGCAAACCAAAUCGCAGAGCAGAAAAAUAACAGUACUACCUGGAGCAAUAAGAAACUCAACGGCCUAGGGCAACAUUUGGAAGGAGACAAGCAAGUACUACAACAGCUAGCUGGGCUGAAUUGAAGAUUAACCAAAAUCAUAUCAAGUAUUUGUUGAGCAUGAUUAUACACGGGAAGGGGAAGGGGUUCACGGCAGGGACCUUUAGGUCAUGACCUGGCUUGCAUCUCUCCUCCUCAUGUGCAUUGGUUUGCAUCCAAUCCUUGCAGUCCAAUCCAUGGAAGUCCCUCCCUCCCUGCAUCUCUAGAACACGACACUUAAAUUUCAUCAACUUCCAUUGCUACUGAUAAAAGAGGAGCAAGAUGUAUAUGCUGCAUAAAUCAUACAUGGAGAAGCAAGUUGCUUGAAAACAGAGGAGGUCCAUGAUGGUUGUUCUCAUUCGCAACAGAAAAACUCAGAAAAAUGCACAAGUGCAUGCUAUCUAUGGAUACACCAACUCUAUCAGUACCUGGCACCCAAACUAAGAAAAAAAUUCAUUCAUAUGCAGCAACCUAAACUCAACUUUGAGAGAGCGGACUGAUUAACAUUUUUUUGUUGGGUCGAAUUUUUCACAAAUAUAGAUAGUGUAACGCCCGUGAAAUUAAAUUAUGCAAAGUAGUAUAGUAGUAAUAUUUUAAGCCAAUUAUAGAGAUUAUCGGAUGGAUUGAUAGCUUGCACUAAUAAUAUAUAUGAUGGAUGCCACUGUUUAAGAAUUAGCAGUAGUUGCUUAGAACCCAAAUGCAUGUACACGUACUGGUCUAGGCAGACUUUUUUUUCUUUCCCUUAAUUUGUGAGAAGAGUUAGACCAGAUAUUUUGCUCAACAAGUAGCUGGCUGUAGGAAGGGUCGAGGAGGCAACUGAAAAUAAAAUGUUUAGUAAAUGGAAAUGAUUAUGCUGCUGACUCAGGUACAGGCCAGCAAGCUUAUCUAUUCCUGUUGUCAGACAUACGUGUCAAUUAGAGCAAUUUUACUUACUGUCUAUUCCUGCACGCCUAUAUAAAGGG
Molecule: long non-coding RNA, 2757 nt
Filed under: Triticum aestivum (bread wheat)
Lineage: Eukaryota; Viridiplantae; Streptophyta; Magnoliopsida; Poales; Poaceae
Description: long non-coding RNA (TAES_LNC007644)
Source: RNAcentral